RNAcentral lists this ribosomal RNA (301 nucleotides) under uncultured bacterium. RNAcentral's name for it is "partial 16S ribosomal RNA". It matches the Rfam family "Bacterial small subunit ribosomal RNA", at positions 509 to 807 of the family's 1533-position model. The record is from RNAcentral.
CAGUCGCCACGGUAAUACGUAGGGUGCGAGCGUUAAUCGGAAUUACUGGGCGUAAAGCGUGCGCAGGCGGUUCGUUAAGACAGAUGUGAAAUCCCCGGGCUUAACCUGGGAACUGCAUUUGUGACUGGCGAGCUAGAGUAUGGCAGAGGGGGGUAGAAUUCCACGUGUAGCAGUGAAAUGCGUAGAGAUGUGGAGGAAUACCGAUGGCGAAGGCAGCCCCCUGGGCCUGUACUGACGCUCAUGCACGAAAGCGUGGGGAGCAAACAGGAUUAGAUACCCCCGUAGUCCCUGUCUCUUAUAC